RNAcentral lists this ribosomal RNA (452 nucleotides) under uncultured bacterium. RNAcentral's name for it is "bacterial SSU rRNA". It matches the Rfam family "Bacterial small subunit ribosomal RNA", at positions 29 to 524 of the family's 1533-position model. The record is from RNAcentral.
AGCGAACGCUGGCGGCAGGCUUAACACAUGCAAGUCGAGCGGGCGUAGCAAUACGUCAGCGGCAGACGGGUGAGUAACGCGUGGGAACGUACCUUUUGGUUCGGAACAACACAGGGAAACUUGUGCUAAUACCGGAUAAGCCCUUACGGGGAAAGAUUUAUCGCCGAAAGAUCGGCCCGCGUCUGAUUAGCUAGUUGGUAGGGUAAUGGCCUACCAAGGCGACGAUCAGUAGCUGGUCUGAGAGGAUGAUCAGCCACAUUGGGACUGAGACACGGCCCAAACUCCUACGGGAGGCAGCAGUGGGGAAUAUUGGACAAUGGGGGCAACCCUGAUCCAGCCAUGCCGCGUGAGUGAUGAAGCCCUAGGGUUGUAAAGGCUCUUUUGUGCGGGAAGAUAAUGACGGUACCGCAAGAAUAAGCCCCGGCUAACUUCGUGCCAGCAGCCGCGGUAAU